This 337-nucleotide long non-coding RNA is filed under the name Rhinolophus ferrumequinum (greater horseshoe bat). RNAcentral's name for it is "lncRNA (ENSRFEG00010008750.1)". The record is from RNAcentral. Lineage: Eukaryota; Metazoa; Chordata; Mammalia; Chiroptera; Rhinolophidae.
GGCUAGAGCAAUUACAUUUUUUCAUUGCUAUUUGAUUUAGCUGUUUUCUGUUUCUUAAUAGAUGCUCAGUCUUCUGACUAUGCCCAUUGCACCACUGAGGUGAAAGUUGCAUCACAUCAGGAAUCCUGGAGAAGAAAAAGGGAAACAUGAGAAAUGACCUGUGUUCCUUGGAGAGACUGUCAUCUACCAGUUCUGAGACCUUUUUCAUUGAAUGCAGGUAAACAAUGGUCCCUGUGUGAAGAAUGACCUAGAAGAGAGUCAAAGUAGGCGCUUAGAUGAUGAAGUCACCACGUGGAUGUCGUGAAGCAUUUCUGAGGAAGAAUUCCCUCAAUUCAUC